AAAUUGAAGAGUUUGAUCAUGGCUCAGAUUGAACGCUGGCGGCAGGCCUAACACAUGCAAGUCGAACGGUAACAGGAAGCAGCUUGCUGCUUUGCUGACGAGUGGCGGACGGGUGAGUAAUGUCUGGGAAACUGCCUGAUGGAGGGGGAUAACUACUGGAAACGGUGGCUAAUACCGCAUAACGUCGCAAGACCAAAGAGGGGGACCUUCGGGCCUCUUGCCAUCAGAUGUGCCCAGAUGGGAUUAGCUUGUUGGUGAGGUAACGGCUCACCAAGGCGACGAUCCCUAGCUGGUCUGAGAGG
Molecule: ribosomal RNA, 302 nt
Filed under: Salmonella enterica
Lineage: Bacteria; Pseudomonadati; Pseudomonadota; Gammaproteobacteria; Enterobacterales; Enterobacteriaceae
Also listed under: 3 other names
Description: partial 16S ribosomal RNA
Rfam family: Bacterial small subunit ribosomal RNA
Source: RNAcentral